CCUACGGGGUGCAGCAGUGAGGAAUAUUGGUCAAUGGACGAGAGUCUGAACCAGCCAAGUAGCGUGAAGGAUGACUGCCCUAUGGGUUGUAAACUUCUUUUAUAUGGGAAUAAAAUGUUCCACGUGUGGGAUUUUGUAUGUACCAUAUGAAUAAGGAUCGGCUAACUCCGUGCCAGCAGCCGCGGUAAUACGGAGGAUCCGAGCGUUAUCCGGAUUUAUUGGGUUUAAAGGGAGCGUAGGUGGAUUGUUAAGUCAGUUGUGAAAGUUUGCGGCUCAACCAUAAAAUUGCAGUUGAAACUGGCAGUCUUGAGUACAGUAGAGGUGGGCGGAAUUCGUGGUGUAGCGGUGAAAUGCUUAGAUAUCACGAAGAACUCCGAUUGCGAAGGCAGUUCACUGGACUGCAACUGACACUGAGGCUCGAAAGUGUGGGUAUCAAACAGGAUUAGAUACCCCAGUAGUC
RNAcentral lists this ribosomal RNA (460 nucleotides) under uncultured bacterium. RNAcentral's name for it is "partial 16S ribosomal RNA". It matches the Rfam family "Bacterial small subunit ribosomal RNA", at positions 338 to 795 of the family's 1533-position model. The record is from RNAcentral.